GAUGAACGCUAGCUACAGGCUUAACACAUGCAAGUCGAGGGGUAACAAGAGAGAAGCUUGCUUUUCUUGUUGACGACCGGCGCACGGGUGAGUAACGCGUAUCCAACCUGCCUAGAACUAGGGAAUAACCUUGCGAAAGUAAGACUAAUACCCUAUGAUUUCCUUUGAUGACAUCAGAUUAGGAAUAAAGAUUUAUCGGUUAUAGAUGGGGAUGCGUCUGAUUAGCUUGUUGGCGGGGUAACGGCCCACCAAGGCAACGAUCAGUAGGGGUUCUGGAAGGAAGGUGCCCCGCAUUGGAACUGAGACACGGUCCAAACUCCUGCGGGAGGCAGCAGUGAGGAAUAUUGGUCAAUGGGCGGAAGCCUGAACCAGCCAAGUAGCGUGCAGGAUGACGGCCCUAUGGGUUGUAAACUGCUUUUAUACAGUAAUAAAGUUAGCCACGUGUGGUUAUUUGUAGGUACUGUAUGAAUAAGGACCGCCUAAUUCCGUGCCAGCCGCCGCAGUAA
RNAcentral lists this ribosomal RNA (506 nucleotides) under uncultured bacterium. RNAcentral's name for it is "partial 16S ribosomal RNA". It matches the Rfam family "Bacterial small subunit ribosomal RNA", at positions 28 to 523 of the family's 1533-position model. The record is from RNAcentral.